GACGAACGCUGGCGGCGUGCUUAACACAUGCAAGUCGAACGGAAAGGCCCUGCUUUUGUGGGGUGCUCGAGUGGCGAACGGGUGAGUACCACGUGAGUAACCUGCCCUUGACUUUGGGAUAACUUCAGGAAACUGGGGCUAAUACCGGAUAGGCGCUCCUGCUGCAUGGUGGGGGUUGGAAAGUUUCGGCGGUUGGGGAUGGACUCUCGGCUUAUCAGCUUGUUGGUGGGGUAGUGGCUUAACAAGGCUUGGACGGGUAGCCGGCCUGAGAGGGUGACCGGCCACAUUGGGACUGGAAUACGGCCCAGACUACUACGGGAGGCAGCAGUGGGGAAUAUGGCACAAUGGGCGGAAGCCGGAUGCAGCAACGCCGCGUGCGGGAUGACGGCCUUCGGGGUGGAAACCGCUUUCGCCUGUGACGAAGCGUGAGUGACGGUAAUGGGUAAAGAAGCACCGGCUAACUACGUG
This 468-nucleotide ribosomal RNA is filed under the name uncultured bacterium. RNAcentral's name for it is "partial 16S ribosomal RNA". It matches the Rfam family "Bacterial small subunit ribosomal RNA", at positions 28 to 507 of the family's 1533-position model. The record is from RNAcentral.